The sequence is a regulatory RNA element, 79 nucleotides long. It matches the Rfam family "L2-Alphaproteobacteria ribosomal protein leader". The record is from Rfam.
GGCCACCUGCGGACCACCAGUCGAGGGGGCUAUCACAUAGGGCGGAGCCUUCCGCCCGUCUGUAAACGGAAGACAGAAA